RNAcentral lists this long non-coding RNA (310 nucleotides) under Homo sapiens (human). RNAcentral describes it as "HSALNT0289833". Lineage: Eukaryota; Metazoa; Chordata; Mammalia; Primates; Hominidae. The record is from RNAcentral.
AAGGGCUGCGUCUCACCUUGAGUGGUCGUCGUCUGUGUUAAGCUGGGCUGGAUGUCCUCUGCAAGCUACCACUGUUUAGAGAGAGUCUCCUGUUGUCUUCGUCCUGAGGCUUCUUCCAUCUGCACGGAGGUUCCGAAGCGUUUAUGACAUAUCAAUCCCUCUACCAUCAGGCACACAUUUCACUGUUUUGGGAGAAGGCCUUUGGACUGAAGCUGGAAUCACUGCUGCUCCGUGGGUGCUUGUCAUGGCUCCUGUGGAUGGGAACCCGCUAGGCUUCUAGGCUCUGCAUGGGUUUGUCUUUUUGAAUAAA